This 342-nucleotide unclassified non-coding RNA is filed under the name Hevea brasiliensis (rubber tree). Lineage: Eukaryota; Viridiplantae; Streptophyta; Magnoliopsida; Malpighiales; Euphorbiaceae. The record is from RNAcentral.
GCCCUUUGUAGCUUUCUCUUGAUCUAGACAUGGCAAGGCACACAAGGAAGAACAAAGAUAGAUUCUUCAUCAAGCAUUGAGGAGAAAACUUUCCAAGGCAUCGACAAAAAGCUUUUCUUCCAAUAGAAGCAUCAAGGUCUCGAAUAGGCCAACCAAAGACCCAUCACCAUGGAUGUUGGCAAGAAAAGAAAAGGCAGAGCUAAUAUGGCUUCUCAAUCUCUUGUAACCUUAAAGAGCUAGUUACACAUGUAAGGCCAGUACUUUGAGACCCUAAGAGGUACCAUUCUCCCAGAACAACCCAAUCGGCUACAAACUCCACAAAACCGAUACAACACUAGGAUA